AGCGAACGCUGGCGGCAGGCCUAACACAUGCAAGUCGAACGAACUCUUCGGAGUUAGUGGCGGACGGGUGAGUAACACGUGGGAACGUGCCUUUUGGUUCGGAAUAACUCAGGGAAACUUGUGCUAAUACCGAAUGUGCCCUUCGGGGGAAAGAUUUAUCGCCAUUAGAGCGGCCCGCGUCUGAUUAGCUAGUUGGUGAGGUAACGGCUCACCAAGGCGACGAUCAGUAGCUGGUCUGAGAGGAUGACCAGCCACACUGGGACUGAGACGCGGCCCAGACUCCUACGGGAGGCCGCAGUGGGGAAUCGUGCGCAGUGGGCGAAAGGCUGACGCAGCCAUGCCGCGUGAAUGAUGAAGGUCUUAGGAUUGUAAAAUUCUUUCAACGGGGACGAUAAUGACGGUACCCGGAGAAGAAGCCCCGGCUAACUUCGUG
This 433-nucleotide ribosomal RNA is filed under the name uncultured bacterium. RNAcentral's name for it is "partial 16S ribosomal RNA". It matches the Rfam family "Bacterial small subunit ribosomal RNA", at positions 29 to 507 of the family's 1533-position model. The record is from RNAcentral.